CUACGGGAGGCAGCAGUGAGGAAUAUUGCACAAUGGGAGGAAACUCUUAUGCAGCAANCGCCGCGUGGAGGAUGACGCAUUUCGGUGUGUAAAACUCNUUUUAUAUGUCAAAGAAAAUGACGGUAGCAUAUGAAUAAGCACCGGCUAACUCCGUGCCAGCAGCCGCGGUAAUAACGGAGGGUGCAAGCGUUACUCGGAAUCACUGGGCGUAAAGGACGCGUAGGCGGGAUGCCAAGUCUGAUGUGAAAUCCUAUGGCUCAACCAUAGAACUGCAUUGGAAACUGGUAACCUAGAGUAUGGGAGGGGGAGAUGGAAUUAGUGGUGUAGGGGUAAAAUCCGUAGAUAUCACUAGGAAUACCGAAAGCGAAGGCGAUCUCCUGGAACAUAACUGACGCUAAGGCGUGAAAGCGUGGGGAGCAAACAGGAUUAGAUACCCUGGUAGUCCACGCCCUAAACGAUGAACACUAGUCGUCGGGAUGCUAGUCAUCUCGGUGAUGCACUUAACAGAUUAAGUGUUCCGCCUGGGGAGUACGGUCGCAAGAUUAAAACUCAAAGGAAUAGAC
RNAcentral lists this ribosomal RNA (563 nucleotides) under uncultured bacterium. RNAcentral describes it as "bacterial SSU rRNA". It matches the Rfam family "Bacterial small subunit ribosomal RNA", at positions 339 to 914 of the family's 1533-position model. The record is from RNAcentral.